Molecule: microRNA precursor, 134 nt
Filed under: Medicago truncatula (barrel medic)
Lineage: Eukaryota; Viridiplantae; Streptophyta; Magnoliopsida; Fabales; Fabaceae
Description: miR2111n stem-loop (mtr-MIR2111n)
Source: miRBase by way of RNAcentral
UAUAUUGGGUGAGGAUGGGAUAAUCUGCAUCCUGAGGUUUAAAACAAUAGUUACGUAAUUACCCCUAAAAAAAUUAGUUACAUAAUCGUUUCUAAGCCUUGGAGUGCAGAUUAUCUUUUCCUUAUCACCUAUGC